UGGGGUUGCGGGCUUCAAUAAUGAGGUCGGCUCUCCUUAAAUGCAUUAGUGGAACUUUUGUGGACCGUCUAUUGGUGUGAUAAUUAUCUACGCCGUGGAUGUGAAGCAGCUUUAUGAAGUUCUGCUUCUAACCGUCCAUUGACUUGGACAAUUUUUGACAAUUUGACCUCAAAUCAGGUAGGACUACCCGCUGAACUUAA
RNAcentral lists this unclassified non-coding RNA (200 nucleotides) under soil metagenome. RNAcentral's name for it is "partial contains internal transcribed spacer 2 and large subunit ribosomal RNA". The record is from RNAcentral.